Molecule: ribosomal RNA, 476 nt
Filed under: uncultured bacterium
Lineage: Bacteria
Description: partial 16S ribosomal RNA
Rfam family: Bacterial small subunit ribosomal RNA
Source: RNAcentral
GAUGAACGCUGGCGGCGUGCUUAACACAUGCAAGUCGAGCGAGUGAGUUCUUCGGAACGAUCUAGCGGCGGACGGGUGAGUAACACGUGGGCAACCUGCCUCAUAGAGGGGAAUAGCCUCCCGAAAGGGAGAUUAAUACCGCAUAACAUCGUUGAAGGGCAUCCUUCGAUGAUCAAAGGAGCAAUCCGCUAUGAGAUGGGCCCGCGGCGCAUUAGCUAGUUGGUGAGGUAACGGCUCACCAAGGCGGCGAUGCGUAGCCGACCUGAGAGGGUGAUCGGCCACAUUGGGACUGGGAGACGGCCCAGACUCCUACGGGAGGCAGCAGUGGGGAAUAUUGCACAAUGGGGGAAACCCUGAUGCAGCAACGCCGCGUGAGUGAUGACGGCCUUCGGGCUGUAAAGCUCUGUCUUUGGGGACGAUAAUGACGGUACCCAAGGAGGAAGUCACGGCUAACUACGUGCCAGCCGCCGCAGUAA